GAAAUGCGAUAAGUAAUGUGAAUUGCAGAAUUCAGUGAAUCAUCGAAUCUUUGAACGCAACUUGCGCUCUCUGGUAUUCCGGAGAGCAUGCCUGUUUGAGUGUCAUGAAAUCUCAACCAUUAGGGUUUCUUAAUGGCUUGGAUUUGGAGGUUGCCAUUCUGAAUGGCUCCUCUCAAAAGAGUUAGCGAGUUUAACUAUUGCUAUCUGGCGUAAUAAGUUUCGCUGGAAUGGUAUUGUGAAGCGCGCUUCUAAUCGUCUUCGGACAAUUACUUUGACUCUGGCCUCAAAUCAGGUAGGACUACCCGCUGAACUUAA
RNAcentral lists this unclassified non-coding RNA (315 nucleotides) under uncultured Trichosporonaceae. RNAcentral's name for it is "sequence contains ITS1". The stretch from base 1 to 105 matches the Rfam family "5.8S ribosomal RNA", at positions 50 to 154 of the family's 154-position model. Lineage: Eukaryota; Fungi; Basidiomycota; Tremellomycetes; Trichosporonales; Trichosporonaceae. The record is from RNAcentral.